GAAACUUGUGAUAUGUUGUUUUGUUUUCAAAAUUAAAACAGUAAUUAUUUAUCAACUUGUGAUCUAUAUAAGAUCACCUGAAAUCGUUCAUUUUAAAGCAGUUACCUUAUCGUACAAAGAGAGAAGAAACUAUCUGCAUAUUAAGAUGAAGUUAGUAUUUGUCUUACUAAUAGUUGUUGUGACAGCACUGAUAGUACCUACUGAGAGCUGGCGUGGGCGGCGAGUAUGGAGACGAUACGUUAAGCCAGCGGUUAUCAAAACCGCUAUAGUCUCGGCGGUUGGUCGACAGGCCGACGUUGAUCUUAUUGACUUGGCCGAUUCAUUGGGAUUGGAUCCCGAGUCUCAAGAAUUUAAAGAUAUAGUUAAAGAGUUGGACACUGAUGGAGACGGUAUAAUCAGUCAAGACGAGCUAGCAAAAAUCGAAAUAUUAAAGUCCUUAUAACAAAGGCAUCAAGAUCAUCACUGACAAAAACGUGAAAACACCAACCCAUGGAUCCAUGAGCUAUACGUAUUUUAAUAAAUAAUCGAGCAUUC
This is a long non-coding RNA of Patella vulgata (common limpet), 534 nucleotides long. RefSeq lists it as uncharacterized. NCBI's taxonomy places the organism in Eukaryota, Metazoa, Mollusca, Gastropoda, Patellidae. The transcript is spliced from 4 exons. The record is from RefSeq and is a predicted model, not a curated record.